Molecule: signal recognition particle RNA, 278 nt
Filed under: Aotus nancymaae (Ma's night monkey)
Lineage: Eukaryota; Metazoa; Chordata; Mammalia; Primates; Aotidae
Description: Metazoan signal recognition particle RNA (ENSANAG00000010033.1)
Rfam family: Metazoan signal recognition particle RNA
About the family: The signal recognition particle (SRP) is a universally conserved ribonucleoprotein. It is involved in the co-translational targeting of proteins to membranes.
Source: RNAcentral
GCCUGGCUUGGUGGCACAUGCCUGUAGUCCCAGCUACUCGGGAGGCUGAGGCUGGAGGAUCACCUGAGUCCAGGAGUUCUGGACUGUAAUGCACUGUGCCUAUCGGGUGUCGGCACUAAGUUCGGCAUCAAUAUGGCAACCUCCUGGGAGCGGGGCACUGCCAGGUUGCCUAAGGAGGGAUGAACUGGCCCAGGUCAGAAACGGAGAUCAGUAGGAGGAUCAUGCCUGUGAAUAGCCACUGCACUCCAGCCUGAGCAACAUAGUGAGACCUCGUCUCU